GAGGCACUAGUUAAACAAUAACAUCACCUUGUCAAGAUGAAGUUAUAGGUUAAAUCCCUAUGUGUCUCU
RNAcentral lists this transfer RNA (69 nucleotides) under Tepuihyla edelcae (white-lipped bog-frog). RNAcentral describes it as "tRNA-Asp". It matches the Rfam family "tRNA". From Rfam's summary of the family: Transfer RNA (tRNA) molecules are approximately 80 nucleotides in length. Their secondary structure includes four short double-helical elements and three loops (D, anti-codon, and T loops). Lineage: Eukaryota; Metazoa; Chordata; Amphibia; Anura; Hylidae. The record is from RNAcentral.